RNAcentral lists this ribosomal RNA (503 nucleotides) under uncultured bacterium. Its description in RNAcentral is "partial 16S ribosomal RNA". It matches the Rfam family "Bacterial small subunit ribosomal RNA", at positions 30 to 523 of the family's 1533-position model. The record is from RNAcentral.
AUUGAGCGCUGGCGGCAGGCUUAACACAUGCAAGUCGAGCGGGGUGAUGGUGCUUGCACUAUCACUUAGCGGCGGACGGGUGAGUAAUGCUUAGGAAUCUGCCUAUUAGUGGGGGACAACAUCUCGAAAGGGAUGCUAAUACCGCAUACGUCCUACGAGAGAAAGCAGGGGAUCACUUGUGACCUUGCGCUAAUAGAUGAGCCUCAGUCGGGUUAGCUAGUUGGUGGGGUAAAGGCCUACCAAGGCGACGAGCUGUAGCGGGUCUGAGAGGAUGAUCCGCCACACUGGGACUGAGACACGGCCCAGACUCCUACGGGAGGCAGCAGUGGGGAAUAUUGGACAAUGGGGGGAACCCUGAUCCAGCCAUGCCGCGUGUGUGAAGAAGGCCUUAUGGUUGUAAAGCACUUUAAGCGAGGAGGAGGCUCUUUUGGUUAAUACCCAAGAUGAGUGGACGUUACUCGCAGAAUAAGCACCGGCUAACUCUGUGCCAGCCGCCGCGGUAA